Long non-coding RNA from Diceros bicornis minor, 280 nucleotides. RefSeq lists it as uncharacterized. Lineage: Eukaryota; Metazoa; Chordata; Mammalia; Perissodactyla; Rhinocerotidae. The record is from RefSeq and is a predicted model, not a curated record. The transcript has 4 exons.
AAGCACAUCCUCUGAGAGCACGUGGACCUGAGAGCAGCAGAGAACCCUCUGAGGUAACUGCCAGAGUUGAACAGAAGCAUCUACUGAAGUCAAUUUAGUACUAUCAGGCAAACAAGUUUCUACAAUUAUUCAGCAGUGGUCUACAAACUUCACCAAUUCGGACUGACUAGCAACACUGCCAUCACGAUGCAGAUAGUUAUUAAGAGGAUGUAGAAGGUAUUUCCUUCUGUAUCUCUGUUCCUUGCCUCCCUGGGUGCCUGCUCACAUCUUAAUACAAAGC